This 154-nucleotide ribosomal RNA is filed under the name Trebouxia decolorans. RNAcentral's name for it is "5.8S ribosomal RNA". It matches the Rfam family "5.8S ribosomal RNA". Rfam says of the family: 5.8S ribosomal RNA (5.8S rRNA) is a component of the large subunit of the eukaryotic ribosome. The record is from RNAcentral. Lineage: Eukaryota; Viridiplantae; Chlorophyta; Trebouxiophyceae; Trebouxiales; Trebouxiaceae.
AACUCUCAACAACGGAUAUCUUGGCUCCCGUAACGAUGAAGAACGCAGCGAAAUGCGAUACGUAGUGUGAAUUGCAGAAUUCCGUGAACCAUCGAAUCUUUGAACGCAAAUUGCGCUCGAGGCUUCGGCCAAGAGCAUGUCUGCCUCAGCGUCG